GCCGAAGUGGCGGAACUGGCAGANNAAUUGGCAGACACGCACGGUUCAGGGCCGUGUGGGCGCAAGCCCGUGCGGGUUCGACUCCCGCCUUCGGCACCA
Molecule: transfer RNA, 99 nt
Filed under: Candidatus Dadabacteria bacterium
Lineage: Bacteria; Pseudomonadati; Thermodesulfobacteriota; Candidatus Dadabacteria
Description: tRNA-Leu
Rfam family: tRNA
About the family: Transfer RNA (tRNA) molecules are approximately 80 nucleotides in length. Their secondary structure includes four short double-helical elements and three loops (D, anti-codon, and T loops). Further hydrogen bonds mediate the characteristic L-shaped molecular structure. tRNAs have two regions of fundamental functional importance: the anti-codon, which is responsible for specific mRNA codon recognition, and the 3' end, to which the tRNAs corresponding amino acid is attached (by aminoacyl-tRNA synthetases). tRNAs cope with the degeneracy of the genetic code in two manners: having more than one tRNA (with a specific anti-codon) for a particular amino acid; and 'wobble' base-pairing, i.e. permitting non-standard base-pairing at the 3rd anti-codon position.
Source: RNAcentral